CUGAGCAAGUUUUGUGGGGAAACCCUGAUCCUGGUCUCAACACAUGGUGGCGGAGCAGAGCUGGUAGAUGAGUUUCUGUGACAAACUAAGAUGAACACCAAAGAGACUCUUGGAUGCUAACUGGACCAACCGACCCAGCUGGUGGACGGGUUGUCUUCUCGGUCCAGAACCGAGGCUUUUGGACCUUCUCUUCCUGAAGGUUUGGUUGCUUCAGGUGAAUCGUAUUCCGUUUUUAUUCUCUGGUCAUCUGGACCAGUUCUGGGCUGGUUCUGUUAGGGUUCUGCAUACUGAACACACCACAGCGGACUCUGAUACCUGGUUGGUUCUGAUCAGCGGAGCGGGUCCGGAUUCCUCAGCGACUCAUUAAAGUCUUGGAUGAAGUUUUCCCGGGGGUGUCCAGAUGGAAGGACUGCGGUCCGUCCUCCAUGUUGGCCUCCCGUUUGGGUCGGACCGGCGCUGCGCCGCUGCAGCCGAGGACUGAAGGACUCGAAGUUCAGAGUU
Molecule: long non-coding RNA, 501 nt
Organism: Gambusia affinis (western mosquitofish)
Lineage: Eukaryota; Metazoa; Chordata; Actinopteri; Cyprinodontiformes; Poeciliidae
Exons: 3
Source: RefSeq, a predicted model, not a curated record